This 279-nucleotide unclassified non-coding RNA is filed under the name plant metagenome. RNAcentral's name for it is "partial contains small subunit ribosomal RNA, internal transcribed spacer 1, and 5.8S ribosomal RNA". The record is from RNAcentral.
UCUCCGUAGGUGAACCUGCGGAAGGAUCAUUAUUGCAUAACCGAGGUCCGAGGGCUGUCGCUGACCAUACAGUACUUGCACGCCAGAGUUAACUCACACACAUCCAACAAACCCCAAUCUACAUCGCCGCGAGAAUCCGCGUUAGUCUUUUUCGGGGGUGGGCUUUCGUUUUCACACACACUUUAUAGGCAGUGCAGAAGGCAUUUUUUGUUUUUGCAAUCACGCAAUCAUUACAACUUUCAACCACGGAUCUCUUGGCUCUCGCAUCGAUGAAGAACC